AAUCAGUCUUAUGAAUUACUGCACGGGAGAUUGAAAGUACUAUUGUUUUCUUCCCUUAGGUUAAAGAAUGGAUAUAUAUAGCUGAUAAACUAGGACAACUUUAUCUCCUCCCACUUCCAGCGUGGCAGGUAGAGGAUGUAACUCAGGAGGAAAAGGCAUUCAGCUUCUGGGGAGUCACUUCCUAGUCAGCUCACUGGCAUUCAUCAUCACAGUAUGUUAAUAGCUAAGGCAUUUGAGCGAAGGCUCUGAUUGAUAUCCAAUUGGGAUUGAGUGCACCCUCAGCAAGUUUGCAGGCCAAGCUGAGUGGUACUGCUGGCAACCUAGAAGGAAGGAAUGCCAUCCAGAGGGACUUGGGCAGGCUUGAGAGGUGAGCCCAAACCAACUUCAUGAAGUUCAGCAAGGCCAUGCACAAGGUCCUGCACCUGCGUCAGGACAAUCUCAAGCGCAGAUACAGGUUGGGCAGUGAAUGGCCUGAGAGCAGCCCUGAGGAGAAGGGCUUGGGACUACUAACUGAUGAAAGUUUAAACAAGAGCCAGCAAUGUGCACUUGUAGCCCAGAGGGCCAACUAUACCCAGGACUGUGUCAUGAGAAGCAUGUCCAGAAAGUCAAGGGAGGGAUUCUGCCCCUCUGCUCUCGUGAGACCUUUCUAUAUUUCUCAAAGGCGCACCUGGACUGCAAGUGACCUCUGGAGGAGAUUCCUUGCCUUAGUAGCAAAGCCAUCUCAGGGUCGUUGAUCUUCAUGGCCCAGUCAUCAUGCAGAAAAGGAGAAGGAUGGAAUACAGGAGAUACUGUUAUAAUCCCAGGUUACAUAGUAAUGACCAGAUGCAAAGAAGAGACUGUCCUGCAUGAAACAGAACAUUUUUGGAUGUGAUCCAUCCAUUAAUUUAGUAAUUUAGGUAAAAACUGACAUUGGACCAAGCUUUCAAAACUGUUUGUUCAUUGAAUUUGUGCAGGUGAUCUGAGUGAAUGUACGAGUCCUAUGUGUACUACAUGCCUACUUACCAUGGUGCUUCAGAUAUCGUUUUUACGUAUGAGAUGGAUAUUUUGUGGAAGGCUCUGCACUGGAUCCUGACUUUGCUUGUCACACCAUUGAAGCAUGCAUAGCCCCACUUUUAUGGUGGGAAAUGGCUCCUUACUGCUUAAUAGGCAAUCCAUGAAGACAGCUGCAGUUUCUACACGUCCCUUUCCCAGAAUAGCAGCAGGCUGUUAGCCUGUUGUACAAGCGGAUCCAUGUAAGUGUUAAUCCAAGUGUGUGCUUUUGUAUUAUGAAAGCUAUGUAGCUGCUAGUUAAUGAGGAUAUGUCUAAUCAAUUUUAUAAUUAAUCACUGUAUGCAUAUUCAAUACAUAAUCUGUCAAUGUGCAUGUUGUCAAUUGAGUGUAUCUUAUCCAUUUGAAACUCUGGUUUUAUUGUCUCAAGGGCAAAAAGCAAAAAAAUGUUUUCUUUUUGAUCUGAAGCACCAAGCUUAAACAAGGCUGCUAUUCCAAUACUGUGGUGGGUACUAACAUUAAACAUAAAUGUUUCAAGAGAGACAAUGAAAUCAUCGUUGACUUGAUUUUAAUAUCAUAUUUGCAUGGAUCGAAAGCAAGUAAACUUGAAGAAUAAAAUAGACUUUGAAAUAGAAAAGGUCAAUGAAAAGAAAGUAUGCAGAGGCUAUUUUCUAGAGAGAGGAAAGGAAAAAAGUAGAAAGGGAUAUUUUGUAGCCUCAUUUUACUGAGUUAGAAGCUGUUAGCUUCACUAAUUUGCCAUAUUACGCCUUGGACAGCCCUGGGGUAAAACACUGUUCAAAAAGCUUUUUCAGAAUGUUAGUGUCAUACCUUGUUCUGUUCAGCUGGGACAAGUGUACUUCAAAAGUCAUAUAAGUGACCUGGAAGGACAGUAGAAAGUUUGUCUUAGAUUUAGUCCUCUUUCAGAUGAGACAAUGUGUACCCACAGAUACUGAAACUGAAAUGCUCCAUUCCGCUCUUUUGUAGACAUUUCACAACAAACUGGAGGAGGUGAAUGGGAAUGCCCCUUUAACAAAUUAUUCUUAGGAUAACACUAAAUUUAAAACAGUUCAAGAAAUGGCAGUGCUAUUCAAAUACCUUGAUCAUUUGGAAAGAAUUACUAGUUACUUUGGAGCCCAGGGUUGUUGGUGACUGGCAUAGAAAUGGCUGAUGUCCCAGCUGGGAAGUAACCAAGCCAUAAUUUGCUGGACUACAUUUUAUCCCCUUU
Coturnix japonica (Japanese quail) is the source of this 2212-nucleotide non-coding RNA. Lineage: Eukaryota; Metazoa; Chordata; Aves; Galliformes; Phasianidae. The record is from RefSeq and is a predicted model, not a curated record.